This 598-nucleotide ribosomal RNA is filed under the name Hanseniaspora uvarum. RNAcentral's name for it is "LSU rRNA". It matches the Rfam family "Eukaryotic large subunit ribosomal RNA", at positions 44 to 658 of the family's 3401-position model. Lineage: Eukaryota; Fungi; Ascomycota; Saccharomycetes; Saccharomycodales; Saccharomycodaceae. The record is from RNAcentral.
AAAUACGGAGGAAAAGAAACCAACUGGGAUUACCUUAGUAACGGCGAGUGAAGCGGUAAAAGCUCAAAUUUGAAAUCUGGUACUUUCAGUGCCCGAGUUGUAAUUUGUAGAAUUUGUCUUUGAUUAGGUCCUUGUCUAUGUUCCUUGGAACAGGACGUCAUAGAGGGUGAGAAUCCCGUUUGGCGAGGAUACCUUUUCUCUGUAAGACUUUUUCGAAGAGUCGAGUUGUUUGGGAAUGCAGCUCAAAGUGGGUGGUAAAUUCCAUCUAAAGCUAAAUAUUGGCGAGAGACCGAUAGCGAACAAGUACAGUGAUGGAAAGAUGAAAAGAACUUUGAAAAGAGAGUGAAAAAGUACGUGAAAUUGUUGAAAGGGAAGGGCAUUUGAUCAGACAUGGUGUUUUUUGCAUGCACUCGCCUCUCGUGGGCUUGGGCCUCUCAAAAAUUUCACUGGGCCAACAUCAAUUCUGGCAGCAGGAUAAAUCAUUAAGAAUGUAGCUACUUCGGUAGUGUUAUAGCUUUUUGGAAUACUGUUAGCCGGGAUUGAGGACUGCGCUUCGGCAAGGAUGUUGGCAUAAUGGUUAAAUGCCGCCCGUCUUGAA